This 724-nucleotide ribosomal RNA is filed under the name Chlamydomonas sp. RNAcentral describes it as "partial large subunit ribosomal RNA". It matches the Rfam family "Eukaryotic large subunit ribosomal RNA", at positions 118 to 878 of the family's 3401-position model. Lineage: Eukaryota; Viridiplantae; Chlorophyta; Chlorophyceae; Chlamydomonadales; Chlamydomonadaceae. The record is from RNAcentral.
AAAUCUCUUAGGAGAAUUGUAGUCUAUCGAAGCGCCCUCUGCAGCGGUGGGAUCCUAAGUCUGGUGGAAGCCAGCGUCAGAGAGGGUGAGAACCCCGUCGGAUCUAUGCUUAGCUGCUUCACGAGGUGCUUUCCACGAGUCGGGUUGUUUGGGAAUGCAGCCCAAAAUGGGAGGUAAAUCCCUUCUAAGACUAAAUACUGGCGAGAGACCGAUAGCGAACAAGUACCGUGAGGGAAAGAUGAAAAGAACUUUGAAAAGAGAGUUAAAAAGUGCUUGAAAUUGUUGAGGGGGAAGCGUUUGGAAGUCGUGGGUACGCUUAGACUUACACGUCUCUAACGAGGCGUUGAAUGUGCUAAGUGUUGGUCAGCAUGGAUUCAUCGUGCGGGAUAAAAGCGAAGGUUGAUACUUCGUCAAUGCCGUUCGAUGGAUCGAGGUGUGAAUGGCGCUCUGUCCUUUGGAACUGCGUCAUCAAGAUGCUGGCAGAAGGCUUCCAAUCGGCCCGUCUUGAAACACGGACCAAGGAGUCCAACAUGUAUGCGAGUUGGUGGGUGGUAAACCCAUGAAGCGCAAGUAACCUGACUUUGGUGGGAACCGCAAGGUGCACCAUCGACCGACCAUGAGCUUCUGCGAAAGGUUUGAGUGCGAGCAUACCUGUUGGGACCCGAAAGAUGGUGAGCUAUGCCUGAGCAGGGUGAAGCCAGAGGAAACUCUGGUGGAGGCUCGU